Molecule: long non-coding RNA, 1387 nt
Filed under: Sus scrofa (pig)
Lineage: Eukaryota; Metazoa; Chordata; Mammalia; Artiodactyla; Suidae
Description: lncRNA (ENSSSCG00035001793.1)
Source: RNAcentral
GUGAAUUAAGCGGUCUGUGUUGAGCGACAUGAAUUCCUUUACCGCGUGGCGUUCCAAAGGCGAUUCUCACCCGGGUGUUGCCUGUGCUGUGGCUCUCCUCUAUGCCCAAGAAACAGGUCUGCAUCCAGGCUUGGUGGGAAUUUCCACUACAGAAAGAGAAUCAAAUACCCCAGCCACUAUGCCAUGAAAUGCAACCUCUGGCUUCGCAACCUCUGUGAGUUGCUGAAUUCUUCCUUCCAAGUUGCUCGCCAACUACCAGACUCUCUGCGCAAGAUCAGCCAUCGCCAUUGUCCUCGUCUCUGAAAAUUGUUCUGUCAAUGAAAUGAUCUACCAUGAAGGACAUCUGUGGAAACACAGUCUGUGACGAGAGCCCAUGAAUAAUUUCCACGUGCUCCUGCCAGUCUUUUAAGCUGCGCGUCCUUGAGUCACAGAGACAUGGCUGGGCAGCUGAAAGUGUCACCGAGUAUUCCGUGGACACCACAGUUCACUCAAGUGUUAACUGCUCACAAGGAUACACAGCCAGCCUCCCCCAAACAUGAGGCGAUCCAACUGUGUUCUUCCCAUGAGAAGCCAAAGGCAUCUCUCCCCAAGCACAAAGUAGUAAAGAGCCCUGGAUGCCUGGUUCCUAUUCCUGGGAGCGUAUGCAAUUACUCUGUCACCCUGGUGGCCAACGCUGACUGUCCUAUCAGCAUGACUCCUGAUUAUCAGCUCCCCAUCUGCAUGAAAGUAAAAGCCAGCUCAUCCUAUUCACCGGCUCCGAAUCCUCCACUGGCUUCCCCUUUCACUAGAAUAAAACCCUAAAUCUUUACAAUGACCUGACAACAUAAUUCUCCCCCGUUCCCUCCGCCGAAACUGCUGUUAUUUUGCUGGCUUUGUGCAUUACUCAUCCUCUCUAGACCAGUUUGCUAGGGCUGCCGUAACAAAAUACUCCAGAAUGGGUGACGGAAACAACAGAAACUUAUUUUCCCACAGUCAUGGACGCUCACAGUGUCACCGGAUUUAGUUUCUUCUGAAAUGUCUCUCCUUAGCUUGAACAUGGCCAUCUUUUCACUGUGUCCUCACAUGGUCUUUCCUCUGGUGUCUCUCUGUGUCCAAAUAUCCUCUUUUAAUAAGGACACCAGUCAGACAGGAUUAGGGCUCACGCCUUCAUUUUAAUGUAGUCAUCUCUUUAAAAGGAUCUAUCUUCAAACACAGGGGUUAAGACUCCAGCACAUGAAAUCGGAGGGGACAGGAUUCAGCCCAUGGCACCCUCGAUCAUUCUGCUGCAGCCAACCUGACUUUCCGAAAGUUAUUCAAACAUACCCCUUGCCUUUACGCCAUCUAUUCCUUACCUCUCACACACUGCAAAUCCAAUAAAGUCUGCCCCGCUCUUUAAGGAUGCGCCUGC